This 1439-nucleotide ribosomal RNA is filed under the name uncultured organism. RNAcentral describes it as "SSU rRNA". It matches the Rfam family "Bacterial small subunit ribosomal RNA". The record is from RNAcentral.
GAACGCUGGCGGCGUGCUUAACACAUGCAAGUCGAACGGAAAGGCCCUGCUUUUGUGGGGUGCUCGAGUGGCGAACGGGUGAGUAACACGUGAGUAACCUGCCCUUGACUUUGGGAUAACUUCAGGAAACUGGGGCUAAUACCGGAUAGGAGCUCCUGCUGCAUGGUGGGGGUUGGAAAGUUUCGGCGGUUGGGGAUGGACUCGCGGCUUAUCAGCUUGUUGGUGGGGUAGUGGCUUACCAAGGCUUUGACGGGUAGCCGGCCUGAGAGGGUGACCGGCCACAUUGGGACUGAGAUACGGCCCAGACUCCUACGGGAGGCAGCAGUGGGGAAUAUUGCACAAUGGGCGGAAGCCUGAUGCAGCAACGCCGCGUGCGGGAUGACGGCCUUCGGGUUGUAAACCGCUUUCGCCUGUGACGAAGCGUGAGUGACGGUAAUGGGUAAAGAAGCACCGGCUAACUACGUGCCAGCAGCCGCGGUGAUACGUAGGGUGCGAGCGUUGUCCGGAUUUAUUGGGCGUAAAGGGCUCGUAGGUGGUUGAUCGCGUCGGAAGUGUAAUCUUGGGGCUUAACCCUGAGCGUGCUUUCGAUACGGGUUGACUUGAGGAAGGUAGGGGAGAAUGGAAUUCCUGGUGGAGCGGUGGAAUGCGCAGAUAUCAGGAGGAACACCAGUGGCGAAGGCGGUUCUCUGGGCCUUUCCUGACGCUGAGGAGCGAAAGCGUGGGGAGCGAACAGGCUUAGAUACCCUGGUAGUCCACGCUGUAAACGGUGGGUACUAGGUGUGGGGUCCAUUCCACGGGUUCCGUGCCGUAGCUAACGCUUCAAGUACCCCGCCUGGGGAGUACGGCCGCAAGGCUAAAACUCAAAGGAAUUGACGGGCCCCGCACAAGCGGCGGAGCAUGCGGAUUAAUUCGAUGCAACGCGUAGAACCUUACCUGGGUUUGACAUGGAUCGGGAGUGCUCAGAGAUGGGUGUGCCUCUUUUGGGGUCGGUUCACAGGUGGUGCAUGGCUGUCGUCAGCUCGUGUCGUGAGAUGUUGGGUUAAGUCCCGCAACGAGCGCAACCCUUGUUCACUGUUGCCAGCACGUUAUGGUGGGACUCAGUGGAGACCGCCGGGGUCAACUCGGAGGAAGGUGGGGAUGACGUCAAGUCAUCAUGCCCCUUAUGUCCAGGGCUUCACGCAUGCUACAAUGGCUGGUACAGAGAGUGGCGAGCCUGUGAGGGUGAGCGAAUCUCGGAAAGCCGGUCUCAGUUCGGAUUGGGGUCUGCAACUCGACCUCAUGAAGUCGGAGUCGCUAGUAAUCGCAGAUCAGCAACGCUGCGGUGAAUACGUUCCCGGGGCUUGUACACACCGCCCGUCAAGUCAUGAAAGUUGGUAACACCCGAAGCCGGUGGCCUAACCGUCGUGGGGGAGCCGUCGAAGGUGGGACUGGUGAUUAGG